Molecule: long non-coding RNA, 670 nt
Filed under: Malus domestica (apple)
Lineage: Eukaryota; Viridiplantae; Streptophyta; Magnoliopsida; Rosales; Rosaceae
Description: long non-coding RNA (MDOM_LNC002159)
Source: RNAcentral
UGCCAUAACUUUGUCAUUUCUCAACGAAAUCAAGUGAUUCCAAAACGAAAGUUGUAGCCCUUGAAGAUACAAAGAGAAUGGUACCUUGCACAACACCUAGUUCGCCGUGGUUUGGCCGGAAACUGCCUCGAAAGCCUCGGAGGUCGCCGGAAACUGGGUAUUUUUCAAAUGAGUAUAACUUCUUCAAUACUCAACGAAAUUGAGUGAAACAAAAAGGAAAGUUGUAGUACUUGACGAGACGAAGAGAUGGAUACCUACCUCGACUCCUAACUCGCCGGGGAUUCGCCGGAAAAAUCCUCGAAAGCUCCGGCCAAACUUUGAACUUGUCGAUCUCCGUGUUCUUACGUCCAAAAACUUCCAACGAAGCACUCCGAGCUUCCUUGGGACCUCACUAAGCUCGCUGUGAUCUUGUUUUAGCCUAAAUCGUAACCAUUUAAAAGAUCAUGAACAGUGCUCUUCCACGGGGAGUUUAGAAUCUAGGUUUUCCGAAGUAAAACUUACCUGAAAUUGGUGUCUACGUGAUCGUUGAGGUUCCAGGAGUUCAAUGGUGGUCUUAACUCCGUCGUUGGUAUAGAAGUUUAGUGUGGUUUUGGAGCUUGUCCGUGUGAGUUCGAAGGAGAGGGAGAGAGAACUGAGAGUUGCGUGAGGGAGGAGAGAGAGAGGGACAAGG